Molecule: transfer RNA, 63 nt
Filed under: Ectomocoris horridus
Lineage: Eukaryota; Metazoa; Arthropoda; Insecta; Hemiptera; Reduviidae
Description: tRNA-Ile
Source: RNAcentral
GAUAAGGUGCCUGAUAAAAGGACUAUCUUGAUAGGAUAGAUAAUGUAGUAAAUACCCUUGUUA